Misgurnus anguillicaudatus (oriental weatherfish) is the source of this 572-nucleotide non-coding RNA. The record is from RefSeq and is a predicted model, not a curated record. NCBI's taxonomy places the organism in Eukaryota, Metazoa, Chordata, Actinopteri, Cypriniformes, Cobitidae.
AAUUAGUGAAGGAAAAUGAGAACAUUUCCCACAUCAGUAUAUCCUUUCAUUAUUAAUAAUUGCAUUGCUUCUAAUAUUAUAAAGCAGUUAUGAGUAUUAAUAUUUAGCAGUUUAUCACAUAGUUUUGAAAUUAGUUUUGUUUAUGAUUGGUCUUAUUUGUUGUGCAUGAUCAAAGCUUAUAUAUGAAUCCAUUGCAUUUGACUCUAAAAGGUCAUGUCUGCAGAUUUUGGAGGCUUGCAGUCUUGUGUGGUAUGUAUGUAUGUGUGUUUUUUAACUUUUGCUUUGCAGAGACACCUGGGGAGAAAAACAGGAUGUCGGGGCGACAGGGUGAACUAAAGGUCAAUGUUGUUUAUAGCAGCAUGAACUUCUAAGACAGAAGUAAAACUUUCCAUCGAACGGGCCCCCACCCAACUACACAUAUAUAUUUUUGGGGUCAGAGGGAAAGGCAGAUCAGAUCAACCGCUCCUCGGGGGACCUGUUUCUGCAUUGGUGUUGUGUAAGGACAGGGACAGUUUUGACCCAGAGCUCUGUAAUACUUCAUUUGAGAUACUUAUUAAAAUAAUUUGAUUUGA